GAUGAACGCUAGCGGGAGGCCUAACACAUGCAAGCCGAGCGGUAGAGUCUCUUCGGAGACUUGAGAGCGGCGCACGGGUGCGGAACACGUGUGCAACCUGCCUUUAUCUGGGGGAUAGCCUUUCGAAAGGAAGAUUAAUACCCCAUAAUAUACUGGAUGGCAUCAUCUGGUAUUGAAAACUCCGGUGGAUAGAGAUGGGCACGCGCAAGAUUAGAUAGUUGGUGAGGUAACGGCUCACCAAGUCAGCGAUCUUUAGGGGGCCUGAGAGGGUGAUCCCCCACACUGGUACUGAGACACGGACCAGACUCCUACGGGAGGCAGCAGUGAGGAAUAUUGGACAAUGGGUGAGAGCCUGAUCCAGCCAUCCCGCGUGAAGGACGACGGCCCUAUGGGUUGUAAACUUCUUUUGUAUAGGGAUAAACCUAGAUACGUGUAUCUAGCUGAAGGUACUAUACGAAUAAGCACCGGCUAACUCCGUGCCAGCAGCCGCGGUAAUACGGAGGGUGCAAGCGUUAUCCGGAUUUAUUGGGUUUAAAGGGUCCGUAGGCUGAUUUGUAAGUCAGUGGUGAAAUCUCACAGCUUAACUGUGAAACUGCCAUUGAUACUGCAAGUCUUGAGUGUUGUUGAGGUAGCUGGAAUAAGUAGUGUAGCGGUGAAAUGCAUAGAUAUUACUUAGAACACCAAUUGCGAAGGCAGGUUACUAAGCAACAACUGACGCUGAUGGACGAAAGCGUGGGGAGCGAACAGGAUUAGAUACCCUGGUAGUCCACGCCGUAAACGAUGCUAACUCGUUUUUGGGUUUUCGGAUUCAGAGACUAAGCGAAAGUGAUAAGUUAGCCACCUGGGGAGUACGAACGCAAGUUUGAAACUCAAAGGAAUUGACGGGGGCCCGCACAAGCGGUGGAUUAUGUGGUUUAAUUCGAUGAUACGCGAGGAACCUUACCAAGGCUUAAAUGGGAAAUGACAGGUUUAGAAAUAGACUUUUCUUCGGACAUUUUUCAAGGUGCUGCAUGGUUGUCGUCAGCUCGUGCCGUGAGGUGUUAGGUUAAGUCCUGCAACGAGCGCAACCCCUGUCACUAGUUGCCAUCAUUAAGUUGGGGACUCUAGUGAGACUGCCUACGCAAGUAGAGAGGAAGGUGGGGAUGACGUCAAAUCAUCACGGCCCUUACGCCUUGGGCCACACACGUAAUACAAUGGCCGGUACAGAGGGCAGCUACACAGUGAUGUGAUGCAAAUCUCGAAAGCCGGUCUCAGUUCGGAUUGGAGUCUGCAACUCGACUCUAUGAAGCUGGAAUCGCUAGUAAUCGCGCAUCAGCCAUGGCGCGGUGAAUACGUUCCCGGGCCU
RNAcentral lists this ribosomal RNA (1345 nucleotides) under uncultured bacterium. RNAcentral's name for it is "bacterial SSU rRNA". It matches the Rfam family "Bacterial small subunit ribosomal RNA", at positions 28 to 1381 of the family's 1533-position model. The record is from RNAcentral.